CAGCAGCCGCGGUAAUACGUAGGUGGCAAGCGUUGUCCGGAAUUAUUGGGCGUAAAGGGCUCGCAGGCGGUUCCUUAAGUCUGAUGUGAAAGCCCCCGGCUCAACCGGGGAGGGUCAUUGGAAACUGGGAAACUUGAGUGCAGAAGAGGAGAGUGGAAUUCCACGUGUAGCGGUGAAAUGCGUAGAGAUAUGGAGGAACACCAGUGGCGAAGGCGACUCUCUGGUCUGUAACUGACGCUGAGGAGCGAAAGCGUGGGGAGCGAACAGGAUUAGAUACCCCAGUAGUCCCUGUCUCUUAUAA
RNAcentral lists this ribosomal RNA (301 nucleotides) under uncultured bacterium. RNAcentral describes it as "partial 16S ribosomal RNA". It matches the Rfam family "Bacterial small subunit ribosomal RNA", at positions 509 to 809 of the family's 1533-position model. The record is from RNAcentral.